This 301-nucleotide ribosomal RNA is filed under the name uncultured bacterium. Its description in RNAcentral is "partial 16S ribosomal RNA". It matches the Rfam family "Bacterial small subunit ribosomal RNA", at positions 509 to 807 of the family's 1533-position model. The record is from RNAcentral.
CAGCCGCCGCGGGAAUACGGAGGGGGCUAGCGUUGUUCGGAAUUACUGGGCGUAAAGCGUACGUAGGCGGCUUUGUAAGUUAGAGGUGAAAGCCUGGUGCUCAACACCAGAACUGCCUUUAAGACUGCAUCGCUUGAACGUCGGAGAGGUGAGUGGAAUUCCGAGUGUAGAGGUGAAAUUCGUAGAUAUUCGGAAGAACACCAGUGGCGAAGGCGGCUCACUGGACGACUGUUGACGCUGAGGUACGAAAGCGUGGGGAGCAAACAGGAUUAGAUACCCCCGUAGUCCCUGUCUCUUAUAC